UAGUGUGUUAGUGUUACCAAGUAAACACUUAAAAAAAAAGGUGUUUAGCAACCGUCUUUGAAUACUCUCUGAAAUUGUUCAAAGAGUUUUUCUGUUUAUGGUUGAAUGGGUGGACUACGUAGAGGCCAAGACAUUUUUGUUGCGGCUUGGAUUGACAUCGCACAAAGGAUUUCAACCAACAAUGUUACAUGCCAUUUUUCCAGUUUGAAAAGGGUCUGCCACUAACUGGUCAACAGCACUGCUGCUCGUAGCAUUGGGAUACAAGACCCCUGCAAGGGACUUCGCCCCCUGACCCCUAUGUGUAGGCAACAUUAAUUGAAGGGACAAUUUGUACAAGCUACUGUGGAUUAGAGGAAAAGAAGGCUGGGCUACCUAAAAUGGAAAGGAAGCUUGAGAAGCUGUAUGCAGCCUUAGGAUUCCUUUCAGUUCUCUUAUUGGCUUGGGAGGAACCACCUUAGUUUUAUAGGCUAUAACCAUUGCACUUAUUUACUAUUUUAUAUUUUUAUUGUAUAUGAUACAAUGGAUGAUAUGUUAGCAUGCAUGUUAUAGGAUAUUGAUAAGAUCAAUUAAAGGAUUAAAAUGGACAAA
Gossypium arboreum is the source of this 588-nucleotide long non-coding RNA. RefSeq lists it as uncharacterized. NCBI's taxonomy places the organism in Eukaryota, Viridiplantae, Streptophyta, Magnoliopsida, Malvales, Malvaceae. The transcript has 3 exons. The record is from RefSeq and is a predicted model, not a curated record.